GAUAUAGUGAGUUGCUGUUGGAGCAUGAAAACUGAAUAAGGCACUUCAUGUUGAAUUUGGGUCACUUCAUUUCCUCAGUUCUCAAGGUCCAAGAAGCUGAAUAAACCCUUGGAAAAGGUCUGCAAGAUUUCCAACUCUGCCAGCUGAGAAAUGAUUGUCAGUCUCAACCUUAUCCUGUGAAACUCUUCCUUUGGCAUCUUGAUCAGCUCAACAAUUGUGUGGUACAAUUUGUCAACACAGCCUCUUUAAUCAUGUGGGAGUGUUUGCUCAGUCGCUCAGGCAUGUCCAACUCUGCGACCCUAUGGCCUGUAGCCUACUAGCCUUCU
Odocoileus virginianus texanus is the source of this 326-nucleotide long non-coding RNA. RefSeq lists it as uncharacterized. The record is from RefSeq and is a predicted model, not a curated record. Lineage: Eukaryota; Metazoa; Chordata; Mammalia; Artiodactyla; Cervidae.